This is a non-coding RNA of Acinetobacter ursingii NIPH 706, 60 nucleotides long. The record is from Rfam. NCBI's taxonomy places the organism in Bacteria, Pseudomonadati, Pseudomonadota, Gammaproteobacteria, Moraxellales, Moraxellaceae.
GAAUAGAGUAUAAGCUGUCAACAUAUUGAUUUAUUUAUUAUGUGGGUCAUUGCUCUAAGC